This 492-nucleotide ribosomal RNA is filed under the name uncultured bacterium. RNAcentral describes it as "partial 16S ribosomal RNA". It matches the Rfam family "Bacterial small subunit ribosomal RNA", at positions 29 to 507 of the family's 1533-position model. The record is from RNAcentral.
AGUGAACGCUGGCGGUAGGCCUAACACAUGCCAGUCGAACGGCAGCACAGUAAGAGCUUGCUCUUACGGGUGGCGAGUGGCGGACGGGUGAGGCAUACAUCGGAAUCUACUUUUUCUUGGGGGAUAACGUAGGGAAACUUACGCUAAUACCGCAUACGACCUACGGGUGAAAGCAGGGGAUCUUCGGACCUUGCGCGAUUGAAUGAGCCGAUGUCGGAUUAGCUAGUUGGCGGGGUAAAGGCCCACCAAGGCGACGAUCCGUAGCUGGUCUGAGAGGAUGAUCAGCCACACUGGAACUGAGACACGGUCCAGACUCCUACGGGAGGCAGCAGUGGGGAAUAUUGGACAAUGGGCGCAAGCCUGAUCCAGCCAUACCGCGUGGGUGAAGAAGGCCUUCGGGUUGUAAAGCCCUUUUGUUGGGAAAGAAAAGCAGCAGGUUAAUACCCCGCUGUUCUGACGGUACCCAAAGAAUAAGCACCGGCUAACUUCGUG